Heterocephalus glaber (naked mole-rat) is the source of this 82-nucleotide non-coding RNA. The record is from Rfam. NCBI's taxonomy places the organism in Eukaryota, Metazoa, Chordata, Mammalia, Rodentia, Bathyergidae.
ACCCAAGGAAAGCUAGGAGGCUGUACAGUUAUCUCCCUUGAUGUAAUUCUAAACUAUACAACCUACUACCUCAACCUGGGAA